CAUUAGUCUUUUGUGAUACAUUUUCAAUGAGUCAGGUUGUUUGGGAAUGCAGCCUAAAUUGGGAGGUAAAUCUCUCCUAAAGCUAAAUAUUUGCGAGAAACCGAUAGCGAACAAGUACCGUGAGGGAAAGAUGAAAAGAACUUUGAAAAGAGAGUUAAACAGUAUGUGAAAUUGUUAAAAGGGAACCGUUUGGAGCCAGUCUGGCUUUCCUAUAAUCAAUCUAGGCUUCGGCCUUGAUGCACUUGUAGGUUAUCGCCGGCCAACGACAAUUGGGAUCGCGAGGGAAAAAACCUUUGGAAAUGUAGCCAUUCUGCAAAGUUUGGUGUUAUAGUCCUUGGGAAAAUACCUUGUGCUCGAUUGAGGAUCGCAGUGAAUGCCUUUCGGGGCAGGAUGUGGUGAGGUAGGUUUGCUUGACCUAAGGUGACUUUCGGGUUGCUUUAGCGAUGGCUUACUCCUUGCU
RNAcentral lists this ribosomal RNA (460 nucleotides) under Rhizopus stolonifer. RNAcentral describes it as "eukaryotic LSU rRNA". It matches the Rfam family "Eukaryotic large subunit ribosomal RNA", at positions 234 to 639 of the family's 3401-position model. Lineage: Eukaryota; Fungi; Mucoromycota; Mucoromycetes; Mucorales; Rhizopodaceae. The record is from RNAcentral.